Long non-coding RNA from Sorghum bicolor (sorghum), 4590 nucleotides. RefSeq lists it as uncharacterized. Lineage: Eukaryota; Viridiplantae; Streptophyta; Magnoliopsida; Poales; Poaceae. The record is from RefSeq and is a predicted model, not a curated record. The transcript has 2 exons.
ACACAUGUAGUAGAUGCCAUCAAUCACCAGGAAUCCAUUGCGUUAAAAAAAAUCACCAGGAAUCUAACAAGACGGUAUAUCACAGUAUAUCAUCUUUGCCAACUGUCAGAUGCUGCAGUGUUAAAUUCGAUAGCAGGAGCUCUGGCCGUUUCUUCUUGAGGCAACAAUAUUUUGUAACAGGCUUUUCUCAUGCUUAUUUAGUUAAAAAAACUACUACUUUCUGAAAAACCCACCUUUCAAAAAAGUUCGCAUAGCUUUCCGAAAUGUUUGUUAGCUAAGGUCUAUACAUGGUGUCUAUCCAAACUAACUCGUUUGUGAACCUGCACAAAGCAUGGGUAAAGUCCUACAUCUCUAUCUCUACAACUAAAACGUUUGGACUCCAAUCGUCCACAGACUUGCGAUGGCUCGCUGGCUCUCAGACUUCCGCAGCACGCGUAGGAUCCCCACGUGGUGGACCCCAACACUCGUUGGCUCUCCAGGCGCACGCACGCACGCUCCCCCAUGUAUGGACCAACGCUCCCUCCCUUGCGAGAUGCUACCUUCAAUUGCGCUCCCUUUCCCUUAGCGCCACGGUCGCCUAUGCCACAGCGUCUCUUCCUCGCAUCCGCUCGUAGCACAGGCACCAUGUCUACCAUGCCGUCCUCACCUGCGCUCGCCCACGCUCCCUGGUCCUUGCCGCGCGCAGCAGCCGCAACCCCGUGCCGCGGAGGAUGUGGUUUUUCCUCGCUGCCCUAUCCCGAGCCAUCCACCUGGUGCCGGCGGCCGUGGGUAGCACCGUAGCAGCCAGCCGCUACCGAUAGAAGAUGCUGCCGUCAUUGGCCUGUUCGUCGGGGGAGAGCGGAGAGCACGUGCGGCCACCCUGCCUAGCGCCUGGGCUCUCUGGCGUCCUGCCUGCCGCAAGCGCAUGACUGGAGCAUCACCCGCACGACGCCCAUGUCCUUCUCUCCUGCACGCUCAACCGUAGCUCCACCUUCAGUACCCUCAACGAAGGUCAUCCAUGAUGCCACCCAGCAUAGCUCGCUCGCUCCAGCGCCCUGCGAGCAGCAGCAGCACCCUCGCCCAGCCCGGCUGCAAGAACAUGAACCCGUCAAGAUCAGGCCAUUGACCCAACUGGCGGCCAUCCGAAGCUCUGAGGUCGACCUCUGACGCCGCGACCUUGGGUGCAUCCCCAAUGCCCGCGCCCAGGGCGCCUCCGACGAAUCUGCCACUGCUACCACAACCUCCUCCUCGUCUAGCCCCAACAACCUUGGGCGCAUCCCUGACGCCCGCGCCCAGGGGGCAGCCUCCGACGACUCCGCGCCGCCUCUUCGUCUGUCCCAGUGCCAGCCCCAAUGUCUCGUCCCGCGACGUCUCUCUCGACCUCCUCUCCGGUGUCUUCCCUAACCCAGCCCCAGCGCCCAAGGAGAGAGAAUCAGGCCACCUGCAGCGAGGAUCUCCUCAACACCAAGUCCAUUGAGCAUCCAGGAGGAAUUUCCUGAACGUUCUUGACUUUCUAUAGAAAUUCAACACAAGUAAGCUUUUGUCUCGGGGAUCUAGGACAUAAUGGCUGCACAACAAGUUAGGUGGUGCCAUCGAGGAAGCUAACCUUGGCAUGACCAAUUAACUUGACUUUGAAGCUCAGCUGAAUGCUAAAGGUUACAAAAGAAAGCUUCAUUCUGAGAUUCUGUUGUUGAUGCCGUGAGUGGAGGAUUCAUGUUGUUUUUGUUGCAGCUCUUCAAAACCAUGACCUUCUCUAAUUCUCAUUGUAUUUGUUGAGUGGCUUCUACCCUUUUAGUUGAUACUGAUUAUAGGUCAUAGUUGCAGGUUCAGAUAAUCCCAAGUGGAAUAUGUGUUGAGACACCUCAAUUUUAGGACUGCAAGCUAGCACUAUGGCAUUUCUCGGCUGAGUUGAAGUUUUGGAUACUCUAAUUAAUCCUUCUCUGCCUUAGUGUCGUAUGCUCUGUAGGUACUUGGUGGAUAUAAAUGCCUCUUAAAUCUUCAAUUGUGAUUCAUUGAUUGUAUAAUAUUAAUAUGCCUCUGCAAUAUGUCUGUUGGUGUGGUUUGCAUAUACAGACUACAUCAAGGCAUAAAGAUUAGCUUUAAUUUGUUCAGCUACCCAUAUUCAAUAUAAUUUGGUCACCACCUAGGGCCUUUUCUAUUGGCUCUGAUUCUUAAAGGAUGACAUCAUGAUGAUGUCAUAUAGUCUCUUUUUCUUAUAGUAAAUAAAGAAAACUAGAAAUACAAUUCCAGCCUUACAUAUGGAGGUUUCGGGCUUUCUGCUCCAUUGGACUGUCCUAUCUAGCAUUUAUAUCCAUAUCAUGAUUUUGAAUUUCUAUUCUCAUGAUACCAGCCUUACAUAUGGAGGUGUCUGGCUUUCUGCUCCAUUGGACUGUUUUAUCAAUAUAGUGUUUGAUAAGCAAAGGGGGAUUGUUAGUUCCAUAAACAAGGGAGUGAUUUUGUUUGUUUGUUCGUUUGUGUGUUGAGAGAGAGAGAGAGGGGUGGAAUGAGAGAGAGAGAGAACAUUAUGUUUGUUAGUUUCAAGAUAAAAUAAAAAACUGCUAUCAUAUUCUGUUUUAUGAAAACAUCUCACUUAUUUUUGCUUUUGCUUUAUAGAUGUAUGCAUUGGUCUGCAAGAGUGAUCUUCUAAUGUGGACUAAAUAAUUUGAUCUAGAUUCUAAUAUGAAUAUGUGGGCAUUUAUAAUGUAGGAAUAUCACAGGGCUACUAUAGUGUCAAUUUUAUUUUUUAUACCAUCUUACAGUUAACUAUUGGUAGAAAAGAAAAUAUGAUUAAUCAUGGAUACUAAAAAUAAAUUGCCAUUGAUACCGGUAGGUAUACAAGUGGUAAUUUGAGGUGCUCCCGGUGGGUGUUUUUUUGGCUCCAACAAUCUGCUUCCUGAUGGUUUGCCUCGACCUCCAUCCUAUUUUGUCGAUGCUCAUGCCCAAUGGGAUCAUUCACUCCGUUUUUAGGUUAUUAGUUAUUUUUUUUGCUAUUCACUGUAAAGUAUAUGUGCAUUCCAUUGUAGAUUAUUGCCCUCAUUCCGACUUAAGAUUUUAUGUAUUUUACUUUUAAAAGUAUUAUAGGGAUUUUAGGCCAUGUCUGGUGCCACUUCGACGAUACCACUUGCAAGGAGCCGAAGCCGCACCAAACGGAUGAGAGGGAGAAGCACUUUUGGUGACAGCAAAUGAGGAAUUGAAGUUAUUUCCAUGGUAUGAUGAUGGAGACACGAUUUUGAUGCUUAGAAUUGUACUCCAUGAAUAUGUAUAUUAUUGGUCUUACCUUUGGUGUCAACCUUUUGAUAUGUUACAUAUAUGCAAAAAUGAGAGGAUUGUAUGACAUGGAUGUGUGUAUUACACUCAAGCACAUCAAUUUUAGGUAAUUACGGCACGUGUAAACUUAAAUUAUUACAGAGUAUGGUCUAUCUUUUUCCCGUUGCAACGCACGGGCAUGAUCCUAGUUUACUUCAAAAAUGUGAACAUAUGACGAAAUAGAAGGGUUAAAUGAUCUGUCGUCUAACCAUCAGAUAACUACAACUUCACGAGUACCUACUUGCAAUUUGAGAAAAAACUAUGUUGAAAAUUCAAUAGAUGUACAUACUCUUCAUCCAAUGCAUACUGAGAGUACAGAGUUUUAUGUUAGAGUGUUGGGUUUUCUGCUGAGGAAUCUAGUUAAUCAUAGGGAUAUUGUCAAUUCUAACUUUUUUGUGAACCUGGAUUUUUUUUUCCGAAACAGAUUGCCCUGUUUCCAUAACUACAAUGGAAACUGUGGAUAAAGCACUAAUUUAAGUCAUAAUUUGUUAAUGGAUUGAAACUAUGCCGAUAUUUUGCAAUGAAAAGUUAUCUCUCAUCUAUCAGAUCACUUUCAACUGUGUAUCUGCCUUGCAUUCGACAAAAAAAUCAAGAGAAAAAUCAAUAAUUGUACACUCUUUAUCUAAUGCCCUGAUUGGGAAUUCAGAAUUUGAUACUAGGCAUACUGUACUGCUGUGCUGCUCUGUGGAAUCUAGUUAGCUAGAGGAUAUUGGUAAUUCUAAUGGGAUUUUUUUUUUCUAUUACAGGUCCAACAAAGACAGUUCCAACUAACAGUUGCAUACAAAAUUGGAGAUAAGAACAGCUUUUGAAAAGAUGUAGCAGUCUGAAACAGAACAUUACAAAUUACUGUGACACAGAAUAUGUCUGUUCUUUGGCUCAUCACUUCCCAAUACCAUAACUUAAAUAUCUAUCCAAUCACAUAGGACAAAAUAAAAAUUAAAAUAAAACUUGGCUGUGUAUGGGUGGGACAAAAUAUGUAUACCGUAAAAAAUAAGCGUUAUGAAUAAUCUACUGCUUUUAAAAAUAAAUUUAUAAGAUCAGAAAAUCUAGAAUACAAGCUUUUCCUAUUUAAUGUCAAUGAACAUGUCUAACAUCAGUCUAAUCAUAGCAUAUAAAAUUCUAAAGAGUGGAAAUAUCAUUUUGAUGUGGAAAGUAAUAUAGGAGAUUUAUGAAGCAUGAGUACUUACACAAAUGGAUUUCUGGUCUUGCAGCAGCUGUUGCAUCAAUAAGAACUGUAACUUUCUCAUAGUCCAAUGCUACAGCAUCAAAGACAGUCUGCCGAAUGCAAUUUGGUGUUUGAACUCC